GACGAACGCUGGCGGCGUGCCUAAUACAUGCAAGUAGAACGCUGAAGGAGGAGCUUGCUUCUCUGGACGAGUUGCGAACGGGUGAGUAACGCGUAGGUAACCUACCUGGUAGCGGGGGAUAACUAUUGGAAACGAUAGCUAAUACCGCAUAAGAGUAGAUGUCGCAUGACAUUUGCUUAAAAGGUGCAAUUGCAUCACUACCAGAUGGACCUGCGUUGUAUUAGCUAGUUGGUGAGGUAACGGCUCACCAAGGCAACGAUACAUAGCCGACCUGAGAGGGUGAUCGGCCACACUGGGACUGAGACACGGCCCAGACUCCUACGGGAGGCAGCAGUAGGGAAUCUUCGGCAAUGGACGGAAGUCUGACCGAGCAACGCCGCGUGAGUGAAGAAGGUUUUCGGAUCGUAAAGCUCUGUUGUAAGAGAAGAACGAGUGUGAGAGUGGAAAGUUCACACUGUGACGGUAUCUUACCAGAAAGGGACGGCUAACUACGUG
This 495-nucleotide ribosomal RNA is filed under the name uncultured bacterium. Its description in RNAcentral is "partial 16S ribosomal RNA". It matches the Rfam family "Bacterial small subunit ribosomal RNA", at positions 28 to 507 of the family's 1533-position model. The record is from RNAcentral.